AGUUUAAAGAAAUCUUUUUAAAUGUGUCCUGCCCAGUGUAUUUUAUAAAUGGCCGCAGUACCCUGACUGUGCAAAGGUAGCAUAAUCAAUUGGCUUUUAAUUAAAGUCUGGAAUGAAAGGAUUUAUGAAAAGAGACUGUCUUAAAAAUAUUUAAUUUAAUUUAUUUAUUAGGUGAAAAUACCUAUAUAUAGAAAAAAGACGAGAAGACCCUUAGAAUUUUUAUAAUAUAAUUUAUAUAUUUAUUUUUGUUGGGGCGACAAUUAAGCAUUUAAACCUUAAAUUUUUUUAAAACGAAAUUGUUAUAAAAGAUUAAAUUACCUUAGGGAUAACAGCAUUAUUUUAUAAAAGUUUGUGACCUCGAUGUUGGACUAGGAACUUUAUGGCUAGCAGUCUAAAAAGAUUUGUUCUGUUCGAACAAUAAAAUCCU
This 427-nucleotide ribosomal RNA is filed under the name Glyptophysa sp. 7 PGA-2018. Its description in RNAcentral is "partial large subunit ribosomal RNA". Lineage: Eukaryota; Metazoa; Mollusca; Gastropoda; Planorbidae. The record is from RNAcentral.